Molecule: microRNA precursor, 71 nt
Filed under: Taeniopygia guttata (zebra finch)
Lineage: Eukaryota; Metazoa; Chordata; Aves; Passeriformes; Estrildidae
Description: microRNA tgu-mir-142 precursor
Gene: tgu-mir-142
Rfam family: mir-142 microRNA precursor family
Source: miRBase by way of RNAcentral
UGCAGUCACCCAUAAAGUAGAAAGCACUACUAAACAGCACUGCAGGGUGUAGUGUUUCCUACUUUAUGGAU